CGCCGCCUCGCGCGCUGCCUCGCUCGCUGCCCGGACUUCCCGUCUCCCGCCCGAGCUCCCCGCGCCGCCGCCGCCGCCGCCAGCAGCGCGCCUCAACCGGGCGCGCUCCUCGCGCGGAGCCACAGCGCUGCCCCCGCUUAACUCCUUACGUGCCACCUGGCCCUCCUGCAGCCGUCCGCGGAGCCAGGCAACUCUCCGCCAGCACAGAAUCUUACUGUUUCUUGGCCCAAGUCUGCUGCAGGACUCACGGAGGAGAGUGAAGAAACAAAGCCAUCUUUGAAAUCAAUUAUAAAGACCAAAACAAUGAUGUAAGAGAGCUUCUGUGAAGAGAGAACACAAGCAGGGGGAGCAUCACAGCGAGAGGGAGAAGCAGGCUCCCCGAGAAGCCGGAAGGCCAACACUGGGGCUUGGUGUGGGGAGUCCCGGCUCAUGACCUGAGCCAAAGGAGUCUGCCAGGAAUCUCUCUCUGCUCCCCAGCCCCUCCAUUCAGAAUCCUCCUGUGAUUUCCCCCACAUCCCCCUCCCCCCCCCCGCCCCACCCCAGCCCCACCCAUCUGAUGGGGGCUGGUCUGCCAUGCAGAAUCCCAGAGUCCAAGGGCUGUGUCUUUCAACCAUUCCUCUGUCCCUGGCACUCACUGAACACAGCGCUCUGCACACAGUAGGCUGUGUUAGUCUACUUGGGCUUCUGUAACAAAAACACUGAAGACUGGGUGGCCUAUAGGAAACGGAAAUUUAUUUCCCACAGUAUUGGGGGCUGGGAAGUGCAAGACCAAGGUGCCAACAGAUUCAGUGUCUGGUGAGAGCGCACCUCCUGGUUUGCAGACAGCCAUUUUCUUGCUGUGUCCUCUUAGGGUGGACGGGGCUGAGGGAUUUCUCUUUGGGUCUCAUUUGUAAGGGCAAGGAUCCUAUUCAUAGGGCUUCCACCCAGGUAACCUAUUCACCUUCCAAAGGCCUCACCUCCACCUUAGGGGUGAGGUUUUAAUGUACGAAUUCUGGAGGGACACAUUUGGUCUAGAACACAGGUGCUCUGAAAGAAAUGAAUGAAUUAAUAAAACUGUCCAGUAUUGCCACAGAUAUAUACAGGUGAAAAGAAAAUCUGGUGUGAUCCGGAGAGUUCACUCAUUAAAAAUUCAGUAAAAGAGGCAAAGGUAUAUAAAAGUAGAAGAAUGUGUACUGCAGUACCUUUUAAUGGCAGAACGCCAGAAAGAAUCCAAAUGCCCAACAAGCAAGAGAACAGAGGGACCAAUUCCGGUAUAUUCUUAAAGGGAAGGUACCACACGGCCGUGAAAAGUAAUGAACUAGAACUCUAUGCAUCAGCUUGGAUAAAUCUCAGAAAUUAGAGCAUUGAGUAAAAAAGCCAAAAAGCUGGCUGCAAGAUAAUAAAUAAGCUAAUUGCAAAAGGACACAUACAUAAUACUAGUUCAUAAAAUUCAGAACUAUGGAAGACAAUUCAGUAUAUUUUUAUGAGCACCUACAUGUACAGUAAAAGCAGAGAAACUCUGAAUACCAAGUUCAGGAGAGAGUUUAUGGCUGUGGGGGGAGAAAGAGGGCAGCAAAGAUCCCAGAGCACUUUCAUUGUGUCUUUAAUGUUCUACUUCUGAUGCCGUUUGGUGGAUACAUAGUUUUAUUGUUUUUUGGAUUUUCUAUUGUAUGCCUGAAAUAUUUUAUUUUAUUUUUUAUUUUUAUUAUUUUUUUAAGAUUUUAUUUAUUUAUUUGAUGGAGAGAUCACAAGUAGGUGAGGAGGCAGGCAGGGGGUGGGGGGAAGGAGCAGGCUCCCUGCCAAGCAGCCCCGAAUGGGCUUGAUCCCAGGACCCUGAGAUCAUGACCUGAGCUGAAGGCAGAGGCUUAACCCACUGAGUCACCUAGGUGCCCCCCUGUAUGCCUGAAAUAUUUUAUUAAAGAAAAAAAACCCAAGCUAGCUGUUGAGAGUGAAGGCCUAAUUCCUAUCUCCAUUCAGAUAUUCGCUAUGUGUCUCGAACAAGCGAUUUAAUCUCUGAGCUUCGGUUUCCUCAACAUUACAAUAGGGAUAAUAAAUCUUGGAAGAAUUAAGUGACAUCAUGGGUGUAAAUUGCUUAAAGCAAUGGAAGUAUUCAACAAAUGAUAACUAUUCAUAUCAUAAUUAAUUAUCAAUAGCAGUUAGUUUCAAAUUAUUUGAAAACUGGAGACAUCCAAGAAGAUCAGCCAUUUUAAAAAAGAUUUUAUUGUUAAGUAAUCUCUACACCCAACAUGGGGCUUGAACUUAAAACCCUGAGAUCAAGAGUCACAUGCUGCACCGACUGAGCCAGCCAGGCACACCCAAGAUCAACCACUUCUAACCUGUCUUCAGAGAUGACACCCCAAGACUUGAGAGGUUGGGAAGCUGUCUGAGGUCAUGGGGGGCAUGGGAGGCAGCACUGAGGAUGGGAGGUGUGCAGAGGACCCCCGUCUGGGUAAGGUGCUGAGCAGGUCUCUGUUCCAAAGUGCUUCCCUCAAAACCUCACUUCCUUCUAGGGAACCAACAAUGGUCACAUGGGGACCUACUAAAACAGGGACACAGGUCCUAGAGGUACCCGGACAGGUUCUAAUGUGGCUUCCUAAUCCCAAGGCCUAUUUAUGUCACCAUGAAAGAGAUGGAGAAGAAUAAUGUCACAAGGGCAUCCCUUUCUAUUUUAUAUAACUAUAUUUUUAAAUAUUUUAAUUAUUUAUUUGUCACAGAGAUAUCACAAGUAGGCAGAGAGGCAGGCAGAAAGAAAGGGGGAAGCAGGCUCCCCACUGAGCAGAGAGCCUGAUUCGGGGCUCCACCCCAGGACCCUGAGAUCAUGACCCAAGCCAAAGGCAGAGGCCCAACCCACUGAACCACCCAGUUGCCCCCUAUUUUAUAUAUUUUUAGUAAAAAAUCUGAUGCCUAAC
Long non-coding RNA from Mustela lutreola (European mink), 2888 nucleotides. RefSeq lists it as uncharacterized. The transcript is spliced from 3 exons. The record is from RefSeq and is a predicted model, not a curated record. NCBI's taxonomy places the organism in Eukaryota, Metazoa, Chordata, Mammalia, Carnivora, Mustelidae.